Molecule: long non-coding RNA, 3308 nt
Organism: Heterocephalus glaber (naked mole-rat)
Lineage: Eukaryota; Metazoa; Chordata; Mammalia; Rodentia; Bathyergidae
Source: Ensembl
CUUAAGGGAUGAGCUAGAGCAGCGGGUGCCUUGUGCUGUGGGCAGCAUGUGCAGCCUGGUAUGGCUGAGUAGAUAGAGCGCUGGCAGCCCAUGGCAGCAAGCCAGGGCCACUUGGCGAGGGCUCACCCUGAGAGUAGAGUGGAUGGAGCUGUGCUAGCCUGUGAACAAGCAGGGGCCAAGUGCAAGCCCACAAGAGGGCACAGGGCAGGCAGAAGCUGUAGACUGGAUGCAGAGCAAGGAGGAAUUCAUAUGAUCCUGGGGUCUUUGGCUGUGGUGAGCUCAGAUACAGAGAGGGUACUACGCAGACAUUAGACAGACCGUUCCAGCCAGUGAUCAAGAGAUGAACUCUGCCCUGGCGGAGCUUUCCCGGAACUAUUCUGGUGACCUUGGGGCACGAGUGGCGCUGCAUGAACUCUACAAGUAUAUCAACAAAUACUACGAUCAGAUCAUCACUGCCCUGGAGGAGGAUGGCACAGCCCAGAAGAUGCAACUGGGCUAUCGGCUCCAGCAGAUCGCGGCUGCUGUGGAAAACAAGGUCACGGAUCUGUAGAGACCUGGGAGCCCUGGUCUGCUGUUGCCUUCACCCUGUCGGGGCAGCCUUGGAACCUUGAAGGAGAGACCACCGUCUUAGAUGCCUAUAGUGACUGACAAGCAGAGUUAGAGAAAGGUGGCUCCCAGUCUCCUUGUAGCUCUGGCCUGAGCGCUGUUGGACCAUCUUAUAGGCCUGGGGCCUUGAGGCCCAUAGGGCAGUGCCUGGCCAGGUCUGAGCCCAGUGACCCUGUGAGCUACUUCCUGUGUGACACCAGCCUACAGGGAGUUGGGGAUUAAGUGCUUCCAGAGAGUGGCUGGAAGGGCUUCCAGGCCCCUGAGGAGACUGUACUGUUUGUGAGCACUGGCCUUUGUCCUGCCAGGAUACAGAGAGGAAGGAAAACCUUCCUAUUUCUUGUCUUCCUCUUUCAUCCUCCUUGAACUUGGUUCAGCUUCCUCUGUCGCUGCUGCCACCUGCAAGAGAUAAAUGCCAUUUCUAGGUCACUGCACACUGACCUCUCAGGUGGGCUGGCUACCUCAGGCUACCCAGCCUCCCAGGCAGCACUAGGUACCCUGUGUGAGGGGCAUGAGCUGCAGGGGGCCCUUGAGGAGAGGGUGGCCUGCUCACCCAGCUUGUCAUUAAAGGAUAACACACUGCAUCGAGUCUGAUGUAUGGGCCACCCAGCCCUCCCCUAGUAUGUGGGAGGCAGCUGUGCUUAGCAGGCACCUGGGGGAGGCUGACUGUGUAUGUGGAGGGGUCUGGCCCUCAUGAAGGUCCCCCACUGCAGGGCUGGCUGGCUGUCCUUGGCUCCAGGGCAUGUCCAGGGAAGGAAGUGAGAGCCCCAUCCAGGACAGGGCUGGGGGAGGCCUGUGACUCAAGGUGGAAGGGUCCAAUGUCUCUUCAGGGGCCCUACCUGUCUGCAAUUUGAGGGUUUUACUAUCUUCACUCAUAUUCCAUUUGUUUUGAAAGGAGUUGGGGCAGGAUGGCACCAUGGCAGGCACCUCCAAACAGUGUGGGUUUUUUCUAUGGUCCUGUGUCUGGACCCCUGGUUUCACUACUUUCUUCCAAGUCAAGACAUCUUAGGGCAGGGGUUCAACCCAACGGCCUGCCUGCAUGAAGGCACCUUGUGUGUUUUUCCCCAUUUGUAGAUGGAGGUGAGUUUUGAGACUGUUUUAGUGGGGUCUCACAUUGCUGUUGGAUCAGUAAGGGUGGGGGCUGAUGCUCUUUGAGACUACCCUUGGCAUCAGCAGGCCAGACCCUCACCGAACAGAAGCGAGAUGAGGGCCCUUCAGGUGAGGAUCCCGAGGAGGCUCAGCCCUUUUGCUCUUUGCUUACUCCCCAUUACCCAGUGACCUCCACCCCCGCCUCCCUUGCCCUCUGUCUAGAACCCUUAGCCUCCCCUUGAGUGUUUGAAGAGACAGAUGGUGAUACAUUUCCAGGGAGAGUUCUUUCUUCCUCUUCUUGGCUCUAAAGCAAUCUGCAAAGUCUUUGUCCCUAAGAUAACAGGAGUCACACAGUUGGUCUUGUUCAUCCAUGUUAGGGGGAGUCACAGCUGCUCUUUUGUGCUGGCUCUAAUGACCCUACUCCAUUUCUGCCAGAUGUGGGGACUACAGUCAGGUGAUGUCAUUUAGGAGCAUGUGAACUUUAGUUCUUUGAGUGCUCCAGGUAGGACUUUUUCUUUUCUGUUUUUUUUUUUUUGGUACCGGGGAUUGAACUCAGGACCUUGCAAUUGUGAGGCAGGCAGCAGCACCUCUGAGCUAAAUCCCCUUUCUUUUUGGUACUGAGGAUUGAACCCAGGGCUCACACAUGCUAGGCAAAUGCUUCACCAUGGAGCUACAUCACCAGCCUUUUAAAUUUUUUUUUUUUUCAAGACAAGGUCUUGAAAGUUGCCCAGACUGGCCUCAAACUUGUGAUCCUCCUGGUUCGGCCUCCAAGUAGCUAGAAUUACAUGUGUGUACCACCACACCAGGCCCAGCUAGGUUUUUAUAGUCACUCGAAAUGGUAAUGAAUUUCCACUGGUGGCUCUGGCAAACUAUGGAGUUGACAGUCUCAGGGAGCAGGGCCAAUGGGGAAUUAGCCCAGGGUGGACUUGAGCAGGUACAGAGGGAGACAGCCUUGGUCGACACCAUAGGGGCUGUGCCAGCUGUGCUGCUGUGCCAGGCUCUGGUGUUGAGGGCUCCCUGCAGAGGAGGGCCAAGUCCUGCAUGCCCGAGCCUGUGCACAUGGGAGCAUAAGUGCUGAACAUAAUCUAAAUCACACUCAUCUCUCCCCUCACAGAACAUUGUGGUGAUAAAAGAUGUAAAGGAGCUGGGCAUGGUGUUGCACACCUGUAAUCCCAGCACUUGGGAGGCUGAGGCAGAAGGAUCCUUGCACGUUUGAGGCCAGCCCGGUGUACAUAGCGAGAUCAUGUCUCAAAAAACCAAAAAUAAAACAAAACAUGUAAAGGAGGGAAAAAAACCCACCACAAAAAGAUAGGAAACUUCACUUAGUUGAGUGGAGAUGCCAGCACUGACAGGAGUUUGUGGUUGUUCACUUGGGUUUACGCCACAAUUUCACUGUAGAAAUUUGUGAUUCAGUUUGACCAAUCUUUUCUCACCAACAUUGCAAAGGUGCAAACCUGUUAGCAUAUAGAGCUGAUGUUUCCCAUCAUCUGAGGCUCCUUGAGGACUUUAUGGAAUGACUUGGUUUCUUAAAGUAGCUUUCACUAAUUUAAAUAUUGGAGUAAUUGUCCAAAUGGUUAGAAGAUCAAGGAGUAUUUUCAUUAACUUGUUGAUGUUGA